AAAGAAGUGCGGCUUGUUGAUUUUCUUUCGAGAAGGUAGGAAAGUCCGGACACCAAAGAGCAACAUAGCGGAUAACAUCCGUCACGCGUGAGCGUAGGACAAGUGCAACAGAAAGCAAGUACAGUUCGGCUGUAGUGAAACCAGGUAAACUCUAUGUGGUGCAAUGCUAAGUAUAUCGCCAGUUAAGGUCGGCUCGGUCGUUGGCGAGGGGUAAGCAGCUAAAGUUGCAGAGCAAUUUGCAAAUCAGAUAAAUAACAAGCGCCCUCCUAGGAGGGCACAGAAUCCGGCUUAUAGCACUUCUUUUAUU
RNAcentral lists this RNase P RNA (307 nucleotides) under Soonwooa buanensis. RNAcentral describes it as "Bacterial RNase P class A". It matches the Rfam family "Bacterial RNase P class A". From Rfam's summary of the family: Ribonuclease P (RNase P) is a ubiquitous endoribonuclease, found in archaea, bacteria and eukarya as well as chloroplasts and mitochondria. Its best characterised activity is the generation of mature 5'-ends of tRNAs by cleaving the 5'-leader elements of precursor-tRNAs. The record is from Rfam by way of RNAcentral. Lineage: Bacteria; Pseudomonadati; Bacteroidota; Flavobacteriia; Flavobacteriales; Weeksellaceae.